AUGGGCCAGCUGGAGAUAUUUGAGACGCUCGUGGGAAUUGAGCGUCAGAUUUAUAUGGUGACAUGGAAGGAUAACCACAAAUUCAUAUACAAUGUUAUUUAUGAACCAGGUAACUCAGAAGAAACUAUAACAUGUAGUUGUCUUAGGAUGGUUCAGAAAGGCCUGCCAUGCAAACACAUUCUUUUUGAUCUCCAUCAUCUGAGCAUAACUGAAAUACCAAAGUGUUGUGUCCUUCAUCGGUUGUCAAAAAAUGCAAGAGAUGAAUUGCCUGUGCAGCGGAAGAGUGAUAUGUUUGGAUGGGGUUGA
Molecule: ribosomal RNA, 306 nt
Filed under: Triticum aestivum (bread wheat)
Lineage: Eukaryota; Viridiplantae; Streptophyta; Magnoliopsida; Poales; Poaceae
Description: partial small subunit ribosomal RNA
Source: RNAcentral